GAUCCUUCAAAGAACACCACCACUCCUUCUUCUUCAAAUUAUUAAUUGAGUGGCCCGCCGGUUUCUUUUUGUCCAAUUAUCCGACCCAACCGCCGGCCGUCGGCUUGACCAGUCGGUCACGUGUAGAACCAGGUCACGUGUAGAACCAAACCAACAGUGUGAAUCGGACCACCAUCUCCUCCACAGGGCCACCACCUCCUCUCCUCUCCCUCCAUAGCGCCACCUUCCUCUUCUCCUCUGCAGCGCUGCCAAUUAACUCUGCUUCUCUAAUGUAACGUUAUCAACCAAUUGGUACAUUUUCUGAAAAAAAUCCUUUAAACCGGUACUCAUUAAUGCUCAAUUUGAUGUUUUAUUAUCUAGGUUUUGAUUGUUUAUGAGAAAGGGUCUGAAUUUUUUGCUAUGUGGGUUUGUUUUGUUUCUUAUUGAUUUACACGAAGUUUUUUUUUUCAUUUUUAUGAAAUUUUGUUUUUGUUGUGAAACCAGAUUGUUUUGAAGUCAAAUUGAGUUCAGUUGUUAUGAUAGCAAAAAAUAGAGUGUAAAAUUGUUUUCUGUGUUGAUUGGUUAAGUGUAAAGUUGAGAUAUGAAGAAGAAAGGGUCACACGAAGUAGGUAGAGGGCGACUGGAAACAUUUUUCUUUUUUAUUUCCGGCGCCCCUUUUGUACCGGUGAUGUCGUUUUUCCGAUGGUGGAGAUGAUGGCGGUAGUGGAUGUUAAUGGUGGAGACCAGUUGGUUUAUGGCCUUGUGUUCUCUGGUUCAUCGUCAUUGGCCAUUAAAGUUAUUUGAAGCUGUGUAGAUGGGUGUGUUCUUUAAUAAAUAUUGACUGUGAAUUAAAGAAAAAAGGGUAGGGGUGGGGGUGGGGUGGGUAGUUGGGCAGUCAAAAUGAUCAAAAUGC
Molecule: long non-coding RNA, 892 nt
Filed under: Helianthus annuus (common sunflower)
Lineage: Eukaryota; Viridiplantae; Streptophyta; Magnoliopsida; Asterales; Asteraceae
Description: hypothetical non coding rna
Source: RNAcentral